CCUACGGGGUGCAGCAGUGGGGAAUAUUGGACAAUGGGCGAAAGCCUGAUCCAGCCAUGCCGCGUGUGUGAAGAAGGCCUUCGGGUUGUAAAGCACUUUCAGUGGGGAAGAAAGCCUUGGGGCUAAUACCCUCGAGGAAGGACAUCACCAACAGAAGAAGCACCGGCUAACUCCGUGCCAGCAGCCGCGGUAAUACGGAGGGUGCGAGCGUUAAUCGGAAUUACUGGGCGUAAAGCGCGCGUAGGCGGUCUGAUAAGCCGGUUGUGAAAGCCCCGGGCUCAACCUGGGAACGGCAUCCGGAACUGUCAGGCUAGAGUGCAGGAGAGGAAGGUAGAAUUCCCGGUGUAGCGGUGAAAUGCGUAGAGAUCGGGAGGAAUACCAGUGGCGAAGGCGGCCUUCUGGACUGACACUGACGCUGAGGUGCGAAAGCGUGGGUAGCAAACAGGAUUAGAUACCCCUGUAGUC
This 465-nucleotide ribosomal RNA is filed under the name Vreelandella stevensii. Its description in RNAcentral is "partial 16S ribosomal RNA". It matches the Rfam family "Bacterial small subunit ribosomal RNA", at positions 338 to 795 of the family's 1533-position model. The record is from RNAcentral. Lineage: Bacteria; Pseudomonadati; Pseudomonadota; Gammaproteobacteria; Oceanospirillales; Halomonadaceae.